Molecule: ribosomal RNA, 301 nt
Filed under: uncultured bacterium
Lineage: Bacteria
Description: partial 16S ribosomal RNA
Rfam family: Bacterial small subunit ribosomal RNA
Source: RNAcentral
CAGCCGCCACGGGAAUACGUAGGUGGCAAGCGUUGUCCGGAAUUAUUGGGCGUAAGGGGCUCGCAGGCGGUUUCUUAAGUCUGAUGUGAAAGCCCCCGGCUCAACCGGGGAGGGUCAUUGGAAACUGGGAAACUUGAGUGCAGAAGAGGAGAGUGGAAUUCCACGUGUAGCGGUGAAAUGCGUAGAGAUGUAGAGGAACACCAGUGGCGAAGGCGACUCUCUGGUCUGUAACUGACGCUGAGGAGCGAAAGCGUGGGGAGCGAACAGGAUUAGAUACCCCAGUAGUCCCUGUCUCUUAUAC